AGUGAACGCUGGCGGUAGGCCUAACACAUGCAAGUCGAACGGCAGCACAGUAAGAGCUUGCUCUUACGGGUGGCGAGUGGCGGGCGGGUGAGGAAUACAUCGGAAUCUACUUUUUCGUGGGGGAUAACGUAGGGAAACUUACGCUAAUACCGCAUACGACCUACGGGUGAAAGCAGGGGAUCUUCGGACCUCGCGCGAUUGAAUGAGCCGAUGUCGGGUUAGCUAGUUGGCGGGGUAAAGGCCCACCAAGGCGACGAUCCGUAGCUGGUCUGAGAGGAUGAUCAGCCACACUGGAACUGAGACACGGUCCAGACUCCUACGGGAGGCAGCAGUGGGGAAUAUUGGACAAUGGGCGCAAGCCUGAUCCAGCCAUACCGCGUGGGUGAAGAAGGCCUUCGGGUUGUAAAGCCCUUUUGUUGGGAAAGAAAAGCAGCAGGUUAAUACCCCGCUGUUCUGACGGUACCCAAAGAAUAAGCACCGGCUAACUUCGUG
This 492-nucleotide ribosomal RNA is filed under the name uncultured bacterium. RNAcentral describes it as "partial 16S ribosomal RNA". It matches the Rfam family "Bacterial small subunit ribosomal RNA", at positions 29 to 507 of the family's 1533-position model. The record is from RNAcentral.